AGUCAACAUUAGAUUGGAUUAGUAGAUCGGACCAGAAUGGAUUAGAUUGGGUAGGAUUUGAUUGGAUUAGAUAACGUUAGAUUAUAUUGGAAUACAUUGUCUUGGGUUGGAUUAGACUGCAUUAGAUUGGAUAGAUUAGUACGGAUUAGGUUAUAUUUAAUUAAUGACCAUACAUAAAUUGAUGAAUUCAUGAGAAAAGAGUGACAUCAAGAUGGUUCCUUGUUCUCCUGUAGGGGGACCGUGGAGAGGCUAACCCAGGACCGAGGGGCCCCCCUGGGCCGCCCGGACCCCCGGGACCCGGGUCUGCGGACCACCCGGUACAUGUGCUAUAACAGGGCCUGAAGGUUUCACAUUCACCGCUAAAGCCAAGCUAGAGCCCCAUGAUUCUGUAGCUGUGCAGGAUCUAGUGUAACAGCUUUCAGAUCGUCAUCUAAUGACAACAAAGUUUUGAGUACUUUAAGACCAUAGAACCUUUGUAAGAUAAGAUAAAACAUAAAAAUCCCCCGGAGGGGAAAUUCCUGUGUUUGCAGCACAGCAGCAGUGGAAGGCACAGGAUAUAAUAAAAUACAAUACAAAUACAAAGUAGUCAUGAGGGAAACAAAAAGUGAUAAAGUAAAUAGUAAAGUAAGGAAAACAAACAGGGCAAACAGUAUAAACAGUACAAAUUAUAAAGUCAGCCCAGUGUGAGUAAUUUAUCACAACAGUGCUUUAAUCAAGGUAUAACUGUCAUCUUUUUACUGUUCAGACGUACGUUGACAUGGAAGGUUCCGGGUACCCCGACGUGGAGAAAAUGCGGGUACGUUGAUCAUCAAAAUCUGUAACUUUGUGUGAUCAAAAUAGACGUCAAGACAUAAAUAUUACAGAGAAGAUGGUGUGAGUUACCUGGUCCAUGUUGGGUCCUACCAGGGUCUACGUGGUUUACCCGGACCACCGGGGCCUCCUGGACCACCUGGGAUAUCGGUGGAGAUGGGGGUCAACGGGCCGGUAGCGUUCGGACCCCCAGGACCCCCAGGCAGCGACGGAGCUCCAGGUGUACCUGGGCCCCCUGGUCCCCCAGGACCCUCGGGCCGGAAUGGAGCCCCAGGACGUCAGGGAGACAGCGGGGAGCUCGGACUCCCAGGGGGCUCUGGGCAGAAACAGGAGUCGGUUGGCUCCAGCUUGUUUACCGGGCUUCUGUCUUACUUUACGCCUUCCUUGAGGUCUAGCGACGUGCAGGUAUCAGGGGUCUCAGCUUCAGUGGUGUCUAUGCCUAAACGCCUGCCAUAAGACGUCUGUCUCUUGCCAAUGAAGCCUGCUGCUAAAUGCUCACUAGUUUUUCCAUGCUCCGUCGAUUGCUCGGAAGCGGUUGCUAGAUUAUGCCCACCAUCCAUUUUCUUGUUCUUUUGAUUAACCAGAAUAAUGGAUUUGCUACGUUAUUAUUUAUCAGUAAUUAUCGUUUCUUCUCCGAUUCUGUGGUCUGUCUGCGAAAGAUGAGGCAUUAAUACAAUAUUAUUGUAUUAAUCAUUGUGGAAUAUCGUAUGAUCUUCUAACUCUGGAAUUGUCCUUGGCCUUGACUCAGAAACUCUUUAUUCUUUAACAUUAGUUCCUUCCAACAUGUGUUCCAAAUUAUUUUCACGCUCCACUUUUAAUCACUUACUCUUUCACUUCAUCAACAUUAAACACCAUUUGUUUAGAUUGUUCGAAUUUUUUUAAAUUGCCAAAAACAUCCUAAGCCACCUUUCCCCUGUAACACGACAUGUACCAACACCCCCGUCGUCAUCCCCCAGUGUCUCCCAGCGCACUGACCCCUAACAGCUAACGGCCACACUUCUCGUAGGGCACCCAGGGUAACCCGGGACUGGAGGGCCAACCUGGAGAGGGGGGGCUGGCUGGACUGCCUGGGCCGAUGGGACCUGUUGGACCGGCCGGACCACCCGGUCCUGCGGGUUCCCCCUGCAGUCUUGGCCGGGUGAGUACGACUCCCACACACAGAAGCAGUAAUGGAUGGUGGAUGGAUGAUGGAUAAAGACAGCAGAUGAUAGAUGGUUGAUGAAUGGAUGGGGGGCUAGAUCAUAGAUGGGGGGAUGAAUGGGUGUAUGGCUGGAUAGAUAGUAUUAGAUUGACAUUCAUGGGAUUUGAUUAAUGCCAAGUCACCAAUUCCAAAGGCUCCAUGACAGUAUUCCGUCCACUCUCAUAGGCUGUGCCCCGGCGGGAGUAGGAGGGGUUUGGCAGUGCCGAUAGUAUGAUAGUAUCUCAUAAACAAAGGAAGAUGUCCAGACGGGCAAGCAUUUUCUAAUAUGUGAUCAGUUAUAGGAUGUGAUUUUAUGGAUAACAUUAUUCCAAUCACUAUCGCUGAGCAUCGAAUAAAGAUAGGUCCAGGUGGUUUAUAGGAGCUAGUUGAAAUGUUGCAUGAUGACGGAUCCAUGAUGGAUAGAUGAAUACAUGAAAAGCUGGAUAGAUGUAUGGCUGAACGGACAGAUCAGUAAUUAGAAGGAUGUCCAGUGUGGCUGGAUAGGUCUAGUGUGGCUGGAUAGGUCCAGCCUCCACAGACUAGCUGAUCAGUGAUCAGUCCUUAUAGACCGACUAGUGUAUUAACUCCUAUCUCCCCUACCUGUAGGGUGGUCAGGGAGGGGAUUCUUUCACCUGUUCGCCAGGACAGCAGGGUCCACCCGGACCUCAGGUGAGGGGACGCCAGGGGCAGGCCGUGUGCAUCUUGUGCCGUGUUCCUAUUGGUUCACUCUGCCCGAUACACUGCACUAUUUGGGCCAUCACUAUUUUGUACUUGCUGUUCAAAAUUUGAGUGUACAAUUCCGGUUUGCUAUAUAGUGCACAACUAAAUACACAUAAUGCACAUAAUGCACUGUAAAAAAAUAAAGCACUUAUUUCCACAAUGUAUAUCCCAUGAUGCAUAGCGCUUUUCAUCUUCAUCUGAAUCAUGUUGUAGGCAGAGGGACAUUGGUGCUUCUUUGACUUCUGUUCUUGGUUAAUCAAAUUGGGUCUGGGAUUAAUAAAGUUCCUCCUGUAUUAUUUCUAGUGUUGUUUCUCUCUGUGAUCUUACUGAUUGUCUACCGUGUUGUGGUUUUAGGGUCCUGCUGGUAUCGGUGGUCUGCCUGUAAGUAAUACAGCCCCUCAAAGCCAGGGAUCUUCUCGAUGUCUUCUGUUGUUUUGAUACACUGAUUGUCCCUCCAUGAAUG
Long non-coding RNA from Gadus morhua (Atlantic cod), 3173 nucleotides. The record is from Ensembl. Lineage: Eukaryota; Metazoa; Chordata; Actinopteri; Gadiformes; Gadidae.